AACGAACGCUGGCGGCAUGCCUAACACAUGCAAGUCGAACGAGACCUUCGGGUCUAGUGGCGCACGGGUGCGUAACGCGUGGGAACCUGCCCUUAGGUUCGGAAUAACUCCCCGAAAGGGGUGCUAAUACCGGAUAAUGUCUUCGGACCAAAGAUUUAUCGCCUUUGGAUGGGCCCGCGUUGGAUUAGCUAGUUGGUAGGGUAAAAGCCUACCAAGGCGACGAUCCAUAGCUGGUCUGAGAGGAUGAUCAGCCACACUGGGACUGAGACACGGCCCAGACUCUACGGGAGGCAGCAGUGGGGAAUAUUGGACAAUGGGCGAAAGCCUGAUCCAGCAAUGCCGCGUGAGUGAUGAAGGCCUUAGGGUUGUAAAGCUCUUUUACCCGGGAUGAUAAUGACAGUACCGGGAGAAUAAGCUCCGGCUAACUCCGUG
RNAcentral lists this ribosomal RNA (432 nucleotides) under uncultured bacterium. RNAcentral's name for it is "partial 16S ribosomal RNA". It matches the Rfam family "Bacterial small subunit ribosomal RNA", at positions 29 to 507 of the family's 1533-position model. The record is from RNAcentral.